RNAcentral lists this ribosomal RNA (268 nucleotides) under uncultured beta proteobacterium. Its description in RNAcentral is "partial 16S ribosomal RNA". It matches the Rfam family "Bacterial small subunit ribosomal RNA", at positions 67 to 338 of the family's 1533-position model. Lineage: Bacteria; Pseudomonadati; Pseudomonadota; Betaproteobacteria. The record is from RNAcentral.
CGGCAGCGCCGGAGCAAUCUGGCGGCGAGUGGCGAACGGGUGAGUAAUACAUCGGAACGUGCCCAAUCGUGGGGGAUAACGCAGCGAAAGCUGUGCUAAUACCGCAUACGAUCUACGGAUGAAAGCAGGGGAUCGCAAGACCUUGCACGAAUGGAGCGGCCGAUGGCAGAUUAGGUAGUUGGUGAGGUAAAGGCUCACCAAGCCUUCGAUCUGUAGCUGGUCUGAGAGGACGACCAGCCACACUGGGACUGAGACACGGCCCAGACUC